RNAcentral lists this non-coding RNA (56 nucleotides) under uncultured Garciella sp. RNAcentral's name for it is "Fluoride riboswitch". It matches the Rfam family "Fluoride riboswitch aptamer (crcB RNA motif)". Lineage: Bacteria; Bacillati; Bacillota; Clostridia; Eubacteriales; Eubacteriaceae. The record is from RNAcentral.
AUAAACGGUGAUGGAGUUCACCUUUAAAUGCGAUAUGCUAAUGACUCCUACUUUCA